This 738-nucleotide ribosomal RNA is filed under the name Basidiobolus sp. RNAcentral's name for it is "partial large subunit ribosomal RNA". It matches the Rfam family "Eukaryotic large subunit ribosomal RNA", at positions 62 to 648 of the family's 3401-position model. The record is from RNAcentral. Lineage: Eukaryota; Fungi; Basidiobolomycota; Basidiobolomycetes; Basidiobolales; Basidiobolaceae.
AAACUAACAAGGAUUCCCCUAGUAACGGCGAGUGAAGCGGGAAGAGCUCAAAUUUAAAAUCUGUAAGGUUCAACCUUGCCGAAUUGUAGUUUGAAGAAGUGUUUUCCGCGGCGGCUGCAGUACAAAUCCUUUGGAACAGGGUAUCAGAGAGGGUGAGAAUCCCGUCUUUGACUGUAGACUAGUUGCACUGUGAUACACUUUCUAAGAGUCGAGUUGUUUGGGAAUGCAGCUCAAAAUGGGUGGUAAAUUUCAUCUAAAGCUAAAUAUUGGCAAGAGACCGAUAGCGAACAAGUACCGUGAGGGAAAGAUGAAAAGAACUUUGAAAAGAGAGUUAAAUAGUACGUGAAAUUGUUAAAAGGGAAACGCUUGAAGUCAGUGUUGCCGGCGGAAAAUCAGCUUCAUGUGGACGGUUUGCUGCGGUGGAGGGAGUGUUAAAACCCCUUGCCGUAGUACAACUGGCCGGAUGGAGUGCACUUUUCAGUCGGCAGGUCAACAUCAAUUUCAGCCGGUGGAAAAAAACCAGUGGAACGUAGGUUGGAGCAAUCUGACUGUUAUAGCCACAGGUGUAUACACCGGCGGGGAUUGAGGACAGCAGUGUAGGCCAUUAUGGCGGAAGCUUCGAGUUUUUCUCCGGGGGGCACGUCAAGACAGCAUGCUGACUUGGUGUGUACACUCUUGGGAACGACGCGGAGAUACUUCUCCUGCACUAAGGAUGUUGACGAAAUGGCUUUAAACGAC